UUUUAUUCCACUUUAUAGAAUAUAAAUGUCAUAUUGCAUCUUAAUGCUGGAGUUUGAUUCAUUGAUCAGACCUAAAUUACCCAGGAUUCCACUUGGGACAACAGACUUCUUUCUUCUGUAUUUCUUUCAGACAAUUAGGUUGUCAUCUAUGAGAUGGUUGGGGGAAAGCAGGAGUGAGGUUGGGGAGGGGGAGAUGAGAUACCCGUGAUCAGAACUGCAUAAAUAUCACGUGGGUACUAAUUAAUGUCCCCUUGUCUUAGGCUCCAGAGGGAUUCUUGGUUGCCUCCAGUGAAAAGAACUGCUGCUGCAACAUCUGCAAAAGGCCAUCCAGAUGUGGAUGAAAGUGUCAUCCCAUCGCCCUCAGAAUCUAGAGGUUUCUGGAUCCAGGUUUCCCCAAGGAAGAAUGGCAGAACACAUUCUCUGUAGCUCCUUCAGUCCCCCUUACUGGGAUAGUCUGGAGGGCUUUGGGACUCCCAGGUAUGUUAACCCCCCAUCAUUUAUUGCUCUUCCAUUCUUGACACUUGAACUUGCUACUGUCUGUUUUAUUCAGGUCAAGAUGUUGAAAAACAUGAAUGGGCCGGUGGUUCGAAACAAACUGCUCUAGCUAAUGAGUUUUAUUUGUGUGUCUCGAUGUGGAAUCUCAGCUAACCCCUUUUAGGGCCAAGUCAGCCUUGAUUUAUCCCCAUAGUACAGUUGGUUAAAAUCAGCUGAGCAAAUUCACAGUCAUCCUGAAAGAUUUUGUUUUGCAGGGUUCAGGCAAAAAAUUGGUUGUUCGUUAUUGGUGGGGUGCCAAUAACUGACGCUGGUUUUGUGGCUGCAGGGCCUCAUGCCCACUUUUCUGGGCUCUCAUGGCACAGAUGUGAGCGAGGCACAAAGGAAGAAGGUGAUUGUUGGGAUAGCCGCAAGGAGGAAAGAGGAAAAAGAGAGCCGAUCAGGAACUGGACAGUUUGCAACUGACAAGAAGAAUGUUCAAUCAAAAAAAAAAAUAAGGCUUGGCCUGAUGUAUCUGGGGCAUCUGAUUGCCUCAGGCUGAAAGUACUUUCAGUGUAUUUUUACUGCCUCUCUAAAGUAAAGAAUUGUUUAAUUAGUAAAAAUAAAAAAGCUACUUACAGGAG
Molecule: long non-coding RNA, 1115 nt
Filed under: Phascolarctos cinereus (koala)
Lineage: Eukaryota; Metazoa; Chordata; Mammalia; Diprotodontia; Phascolarctidae
Description: lncRNA (ENSPCIG00000028056.2)
Source: RNAcentral